UCAAGCUGCUAAGAGCUGUUGGUGGAUGCCUUGGCAUCGAAAGGCGAAGAAGGACGUGUAACCUGCGAAAAGCUUCGGGGAGUCGGAAAAGGCGUAGAACCGAAGGUAUCCGAAUGGGGGAACCCGAUAGAGAAGCCCUCUAUCAUCUUUAAAUGAAUACAUAGUUUAAAGAAGCAAGACCUGCUGAAGUGACACAUCUCAGUAAGCAGAGGAAAAGAAAUCUAGAAGAGAUUCCCAUAGUAGCGGCGAGCGAAGUGGGAAGAGCCCAAACCAGGGAUUAAUUCCUGGGGUUGUAGGGCCUAUUAUAAAGCGAAGUUUAAUCUAGCAAAAUGGCAUGGAAAGGCCAAUGAAACAGGGUGAGAGUCCCGUAUGCGAAAGAUAAGAUAAGCGAAAUAGGAACCUGAGUAGGACCGGGCACGGGAAAUCCGGUCUGAAACUGGGGGGACCACCCUCCAAGGCUAAAUACUAAAACGAUGACCGAUAGUGAACAAGUACCGCGAGGGAAAGGUGAAAAGAACCCCUGUUAGGGGAGUGAAAUAGAAACUGAAACCAGCAGCUUACAAACGGUCGAAGGCCUAUGCACCGUAAGGUGAAUGGCUGACGGCGUGCCUUUUGCAUGAUGAGCCAGCGAGUUAAGCUACAUGGCGAGGUUAAAGAACAAACGUUCUGGAGCCGAAGCGAAAGCGAGUGUGAAUAGCGCGUAUAGUCGUGUGGCUUAGACACGAAACCAAGUGAUCUAUCCAUGACCAGGAUGAAGUUCGGGUAAAACCGAUUGGAGGUCCGAACCAGUGUCUGUUGAAAAAGACUUGGAUGAGUUGUGGAUAGGGGUGAAAGGCCAAUCAAACUUGGAGAUAUCUUGUUCUCUUCGAAAUAACUUUAGGGUUAACCUCGGAAAAGCCGACUCGGGGGUAGAGCACUGAAUCCACAAGGGAGGCUACCGCCUUACCGAAGGGAAUCAAACUCCGAAUACCGAGAAGGAAGCCGGGAGAUAGACUAUGUGGGAUAAGCUACAUAGUCAAAAGGGGAACAGCCCAGAUCGCCGAUUAAGGCCCCAAAUUCUAUGCUAAGUGAGUAAGGAAGUGAAGUUUCAAAGACAGUUGGGAUGUUGGCUUAGAGGCAGCCAUCAUUUAAAGAGUGCGUAACAGCUCACCAAUCGAGAAACUUUGCGCCGAUAAUAGACGGGACUAAAGCAUAGAGCCGAAAUCGCGGGUGUAUCGAUAAGAUACGCGGUAGGAGAGCGUAGUAUGUGCAGAGAAGAUAUACCGUGAGGAGUGUUGGAGCGCAUACUAGUGAAGAUGCAUGGCAUGAGUAAACGAUAAAAGAGGUGAAAAUCCUCUUCGCCGAAAACCUAAGGUUUCCAGGGUAAAGUUCGUCUUCCCUGGGUUAGCCGGUCCCUAAGCUAAGGCUGAAAAGCGUAGGCGAUGGGAAGCAGGUUAAAUAUUCCUGCGCCGCUAAAGAGCAAUGGUGAUGAGAUGACGGAGUAAGUUAAGCGUGCGGACGAUUGGAUGUCCGUGGAGCUGUGAAGAGGGUCUGAAGGAAAGCCCGCAGACAAAAAUCUAGGCAGAGACUAAGGGGAACUGAAAAGGGAACCGAUAACGUAGCGCGAUGCUUCCAAGAAAUAGUUUCUAACCGUAAUUUAGCGACCGUACCAAAACCGACACAGGUGGGUGGGAUGAAUAUUCUCAGGCGCGCGAGAGAACUCUCGUUAAGGAACUCUGCAAAUUACCCUCGUAACUUCGGGAGAAGAGGGGCCAGGGUUCGUAAUAUUCUUCGCGAAUAGAAGCGAAAACUGGUCGAAGAGAAAUGGCCCAGGCGACUGUUUAACAAAAACACAGCACUAUGCAAAGUCGUCUAAGACGACGUAUAUGGUGUGAAGCCUGCCCAAUGCCAAAAGGUCAAAAGGAGAUGUCAGUUGAGCAAUCGACAAAGCAUUGAAUUAAAGCCCUGGUGAAUGGCGGCCGUAACUAUAACGGUCCUAAGGUAGCGAAAUUCCUUGUCGGGUAAGUUCCGACCUGCACGAAUGGCCUAACGAUCUGGGCACUGUCUCAACGAGAGACUCGGUGAAAUUGUAGUAGCGGUGAAGAUGCCGUUUACCCGCAACAAGACGGAAAGACCCCGUGAACCUUUACUAUACUCUGAUAUUGGCUUUUGACUUUUCAUGUGUAGGAUAACCGGAAGACAUUGAAGUUUGCUCGUUAGGGCAAAUGGAGUCGACCUUGAAAUACCGGUCUUGAAAGGUUGAAAAUCUAACAAUAUUCCGUGAAACCGGGAGUUGGACAUUGUCAGACGGGUAGUUUGACUGGGGCGGUAUCCUCCUAAAGAGUAACGGAGGAGUUCAAAGCUUCCCUCAUCGUGGUUGGCAAUCACGAAUAGAGCGUAAAGGUAUAAGGGAGGUUAACUGCGAGACCAACAAGUCGAGCAGAUACGAAAGUAGGACUUAGUGAUCCGGCGGUAGAAAGUGGAAUCGCCGUCGCUUAACGGAUAAAAGGUACUCCGGGGAUAACAGGCUUAUCGCCACCAAGAGUUCAUAUCGACGUGGCGGUUUGGCACCUCGAUGUCGACUCAUCGCAUCCUGGGGCUGGAGAAGGUCCCAAGGGUUUGGCUGUUCGCCAAUUAAAGCGGUACGCGAGUUGGGUUCAAAACGUCGUGAGACAGUUUGGUCCCUAUCUGUUGUGGGCGUAGGAUAUUUGAGAAGAGCUGCUUCUAGUACGAGAGGACCGAAGUGGACGAACCAAUGGUGUGCCGGUUGUACUGCCAAGUGCAUAGCCGGGUAGCUAUGUUCGGAAAGGAUAAGCGUUGAAAGCAUCUAAACGCCAAGCCUCCUUCAAGAUAAGAUAUCCCAACGAGACCCCCUGAAGAUGACAGGGUUGAUAGGUUGGAUGUGUAAGCAUAGUAAUGUGUUGAGCUAACCAAUACUAAUAGGUCCAUUGGCUUGAUU
Molecule: ribosomal RNA, 2938 nt
Filed under: Candidatus Rhabdochlamydia sp. W815
Lineage: Bacteria; Pseudomonadati; Chlamydiota; Chlamydiia; Parachlamydiales; Candidatus Rhabdochlamydiaceae
Description: 23S ribosomal RNA
Rfam family: Bacterial large subunit ribosomal RNA
Source: RNAcentral